GUGAGGAAUAUUGGUCAAUGGGCGAGAGCCUGAACCAGCCAAGUCGCGUGAAGGAAGAAGGAUCUAUGGUUCGUAAACUUCUUUUGCAGGGGAAUAAAGUGCGGGACGUGUCCUGUUUUGUAUGUACCCUGAGAAUAAGGAUCGGCUAACUCCGUGCCAGCAGCCGCGGUAAUACGGAGGAUCCGAGCGUUAUCCGGAUUUAUUGGGUUUAAAGGGUGCGGAGGUGGUUUGAUAAGUCAGCGGUGAAAGUUUGCAGCUUAACUGUAAAAAUGCCGUUGAAACUGUCGGACUUGAGUGUAAAUGAGGUAGGCGGAAUGCGUGGUGUAGCGGUGAAAUGCAUAGAUAUCACGCAGAACUCCGAUUGCGAAGGCAGCUUACUAAGCUACAACUGACACUGAAGCACGAAAGCGUGGGGAUCAAACAGGAUUAGAAACCCCUGUAGUCC
Molecule: ribosomal RNA, 445 nt
Filed under: uncultured bacterium
Lineage: Bacteria
Description: partial 16S ribosomal RNA
Rfam family: Bacterial small subunit ribosomal RNA
Source: RNAcentral